CAAACGGGUGAGUAACGCGUAGACAACCUGCCGUAAAGAUGGGGACAACAGUCCGAAAGGACUGCUAAUACCGAAUGUUGUGGAACUUCCGCAUGGGAGCUCCACUAAAGAUGGCCUCUACUUGUAAGCUAUCGCUUUACGAUGGGUCUGCGUCUGAUUAGCUAGUUGGUGGGGUAACGGCUUACCAAGGCGACGAUCAGUAGCCGGUCUGAGAGGAUGAACGGCCACAUUGGAACUGAGACACGGUCCAGACUCCUACGGGAGGCAGCAGUGGGGAAUCUUCCGCAAUGGGCGCAAGCCUGACGGAGCAACGCCGCGUGAGUGAAGAAGGGUUUCGACUCGUAAAGCUCUGUUGUCGGGGACGAACGUGGAGACUAUGAAUAAUGGUUUUCAAUGACGGUACCUGAUGAGGAAGCCACGGCUAACUACGUGCCAGCAGCCGCGGUAAUACGUAGGUGGCGAGCGUUGUCCGGAAUUAUUGGGCGUAAAGGGAGCGCAGGCGGGAGAUCAAGUCUAUCUUAAAAGUGCGGGGCUCAACCCCGUGAGGGGAUGGAAACUGGUCUUCUUGAGUGCAGGAGAGGAAAGCGGAAUUCCUAGUGUAGCGGUGAAAUGCGUAGAUAUUAGGAGGAACACCAGUGGCGAAGGCGGCUUUCUGGACUGUAACUGACGCUGAGGCUCGAAAGCGUGGGGAGCGAACAGGAUUAGAUACCCUGGUAGUCCACGCCGUAAACGAUGAAUGCUAGGUGUAGGAGGUAUCGACCCCUCCUGUGCCGGAGUUAACGCAAUAAGCAUUCCGCCUGGGGAGUACGGCCGCAAGGCUGAAACUCAAAAGGAAUUGACGGGGGCC
This 847-nucleotide ribosomal RNA is filed under the name uncultured bacterium. RNAcentral's name for it is "bacterial SSU rRNA". It matches the Rfam family "Bacterial small subunit ribosomal RNA", at positions 99 to 921 of the family's 1533-position model. The record is from RNAcentral.